RNAcentral lists this long non-coding RNA (212 nucleotides) under Sorghum bicolor (sorghum). Its description in RNAcentral is "long non-coding RNA (SBIC_LNC014680)". Lineage: Eukaryota; Viridiplantae; Streptophyta; Magnoliopsida; Poales; Poaceae. The record is from RNAcentral.
CUAUGCGGUGGUAUAUCAAUCCUAACCCUUCUUGGCAUCACUUUGCUAGCUAGUUUGUGUAGCUCUCUUGCUUAGCUUAGCUUAUCACCUAGGGGCAGGGAUGGAUGUAAAGGGGGCUAGAGGGGCUCUAGCCCCCUUACAUUUGGUGCAUCAAUGGAAAUAUGGGGAGGGUGAGGAAGAAGAAGAGGUGGAGGAAAAAAUAAAAAUGGAGA